GAUGAACGCUGGCGGCGUGCCUAAUACAUGCAAGUCGAGCGAACAGACGAGGAGCUUGCUCCUUUGACGUUAGCGGCGGACGGGUGAGUAACACGUGGGUAACCUACCUAUAAGACUGGGAUAACUUCGGGAAACCGGAGCUAAUACCGGAUAAUAUUUCGAACCGCAUGGUUCGAUAGUGAAAGAUGGCUCUGCUAUCACUUAUAGAUGGACCUGCGCCGUAUUAGCUAGUUGGUAAGGUAACGGCUUACCAAGGCAACGAUACGUAGCCGACCUGAGAGGGUGAUCAGCCACACUGGAACUGGGGACCCGGCCAGGAUCCUUAGGGAGGCCGGAGUAGGGAAUCUUCCGGCAUGGGGCGAAGGCUGAAGGAGGAAACGCGCGUGAGUUAUGAAGGUCUUCGGAUCGUAAAACUCUGGUAUUAGGGAAGAAAAAAAGUGGAAGUAAAUGGGGACGGCCUGACGGUUCCUAAUCAGAAAGCCACGGCUAACUACGUG
RNAcentral lists this ribosomal RNA (497 nucleotides) under uncultured bacterium. RNAcentral describes it as "partial 16S ribosomal RNA". It matches the Rfam family "Bacterial small subunit ribosomal RNA", at positions 28 to 507 of the family's 1533-position model. The record is from RNAcentral.